UGGGGAAUAUUGGACAAUGGGCGAAAGCCUGAUCCAGCCAUGCCGCGUGUGUGAAGAAGGUCUUCGGAUUGUAAAGCACUUUAAGUUGGGAGGAAGGGCAGUAAGCGAAUACCUUGCUGUUUUGACGUUACCGACAGAAUAAGCACCGGCUAACUCUGUGCCAGCAGCCGCGGUAAUACAGAGGGUGCAAGCGUUAAUCGGAAUUACUGGGCGUAAAGCGCGCGGAGGUGGUUCGUUAAGUUGAAUGUGAAAGCCCCGGGCUCAACCUGGGAACUGCAUCCAAAACUGGCGAGCUAGAGUAGGGCAGAGGGUGGUGGAAUUUCCUGUGUAGCGGUGAAAUGCGUAGAGAGAGGAAGGAACACCAGUGGCGAAGGCGACCACCUGGGCUCAUACUGACACUGUGGUGCGAAAGCGUGGGGAGCAAACAGG
Molecule: ribosomal RNA, 429 nt
Filed under: Pseudomonadota bacterium
Lineage: Bacteria; Pseudomonadati; Pseudomonadota
Description: Proteobacteria bacterium partial 16S ribosomal RNA
Rfam family: Bacterial small subunit ribosomal RNA
Source: RNAcentral